RNAcentral lists this unclassified non-coding RNA (888 nucleotides) under Hevea brasiliensis (rubber tree). Lineage: Eukaryota; Viridiplantae; Streptophyta; Magnoliopsida; Malpighiales; Euphorbiaceae. The record is from RNAcentral.
GCAUAUGAGGAGGUGGAGGAUGAUGAUGAUUUGGGAUUGCUGCUUGUUGGAGUGACUAUUUUCGCAUCCUGGGAAUUCUCCUCUUCUUGAUCGAGCAUGAGAUCGGAGACUCUUAAAGGAGACAAAGAUCUGCUUCCUUUAUGCACAUAAUUCGAAGACUUGGAAGCUGAAGAAGAAGAACCCGGGAUGGUUCUUUCUCUUCCACGUUGCUGUGAUGCAUGCUUUCUUUGUUGCUGUUGUUUUUGUUCCUGAUUUUGUUGCUGUUUAGCUUCACUUCUUCUUGUUUCUUCUAUGGCAGCUUGAAAAGGGUCAAAAUCUUUCUUCUGAUUAGUUCUUGAUCUUGGUGACCUGGGAGAAGAAACUGAAGAAUCAUAACCAGGUGGUGGCUUCAAGGGCCGGAUCUUGCCUCCAUCGAAGAGCUCAUCAGCAGAUAAAGAAGUCCUGUCUAACUGACCACUAAAACUGAACUCAAAAUCACCAUCAUCAUCAAAAUCUUGAUGACUAUAACCAUUCUUGCGGCUGAAAUUACCUUCACUUCCAUUUCUUGAUUUGGGAGUUCCAGGCUUCGCUUCCCAAUCAAAAGGAAUGGAAGAAGAAGAAUUAGUGACAAGAGAAACAUCAUUAAGCUCCCGGUAGAAAGAUGAAACACGAGUGGGGCUAGCAGGGGCACUGAAGAAGAAGUUGCCAAAUCUCUGAGGACUGGAAGGGGCAGUCGUGUAAGGAGAAGAACAAGUACUAUCAAAGUUGAACUCUACCGGCGGCACUGGCGCCACCACUUCCAUUUCCAUUGAAAGGAGGGUGACGAAUUUGUAUGGAUUGUGCAGGCGAGGGAUUGGUUGAAUAGUGGAGUUUAUAGAGAGAGGAGGAGGAGGAAGGAGGGAGGAAGCA